ACUCAAAUGAAUUGACGGGGGCCCGCACAAGCGGCGGAGCAUGCGGCUUAAUUCGAUGCAACGCGAAGAACCUUACCAGGGCUUGACAUGCCGGGAAAUCCCCUAGAGAUAGGGGGUGCCUUCGGGCGCCCGGCACAGGUGGUGCAUGGCUGUCGUCAGCUCGUGUCGUGAGAUGUUGGGUUAAGUCCCGCAACGAGCGCAACCCCCGUCCCAUGUUGCCAGCGGGUAAUGCCGGGGACUCAUGGGAGACUGCCGGGGUCAACCCGGAGGAAGGCGGGGACGACGUCAAGUCAUCAUGCCCCUUAUGCCCUGGGCUGCACGCAUGCUACAAUGGCCGGUACAAUGGGCUGCGAUGCCGUAAGGCGGAGCGAAUCCCAAAAAGCCGGUCUCAGUUCGGAUCGGGGUCUGCAACUCGACCCCGUGAAGCCGGAGUCGCUAGUAAUCGCGGAUCAGCAACGCCGCGGUGAAUACGUUCCCGGGCCUUGCACACACCGCCCGU
This 499-nucleotide ribosomal RNA is filed under the name uncultured bacterium. Its description in RNAcentral is "partial 16S ribosomal RNA". It matches the Rfam family "Bacterial small subunit ribosomal RNA", at positions 899 to 1397 of the family's 1533-position model. The record is from RNAcentral.